Molecule: ribosomal RNA, 468 nt
Filed under: uncultured bacterium
Lineage: Bacteria
Description: partial 16S ribosomal RNA
Rfam family: Bacterial small subunit ribosomal RNA
Source: RNAcentral
GACGAACGCUGGCGGCGUGCUUAACACAUGCAAGUCGAACGGAAAGGCCCUGCUUUUGUGGGGUGCUCGAGUGGCGAACGGGUGAGUAACACGUGAGUAACCUGCCCUUGACUUUGGGAUAACUUCAGGAAACUGGGGCUAAUACCGGAUAGGAGCUCCUGCUGCAUGGUGGGGGUUGGAAAGUUUCGGCGGUUGGGGAUGGACUCGCGGCUUAUCAGCUUGUUGGUGGGGUAGUGGCUUACCAAGGCUUUGACGGGUAGCCGGCCUGAGAGGGUGACCGGGCACAUGGGGACUGAGGUACGGCCCAGACUCCUACGGGAGGCAGCAGUGGGGAAUAUUGCACAAUGGGCGGAAGCCUGAUGCAGCAACGCCGCGUGCGGGAUGACGGCCUUCGGGUUGUAAACCGCUUUCGCCUGUGACGAAGCGUGAGUGACGGUAAUGGGUAAAGAAGCACCGGCUAACUACGUG